CAAAGGUUUGGUCCUGACUUUACUGGCAGCUUUAGCUAGAUUUACACAUGCAAGUAUCCGCCCCCCUGUGAGAAUGCCCAUAGUGCCCUUUUCGGGAACAAGGAGCUGGUAUCAGGCACACGACCCACGUAGCCCACGACACCUUGCUUAGCCACACCCCCAAGGGAAUCCAGCAGUGAUAAAUAUUAAGCCAUAAGUGAAAACUUGACUUAGUUAAAGCUAAGAGAGCCGGUAAAACUCGUGCCAGCCACCGCGGUUAUACGAGAGGCUCAAGUUGACAGACAACGGCGUAAAGAGUGGUUAAGGAAAACAUUCAACUAAAGCGGAACCCCCUCAUUGCUGUUAUACGCUUCCGAGGGAAUGAACCCCAACUUCCAAGGUGGCUCAUGUAUUACCUGAACCCCACUAUACCUGGGAUUAGAUACCCCACUAUAACUGGGAUUAGAUACCCCACUAUAACUGGGAUUAGAUACCCCACUAUAACUGGGAUUAGAUACCCCACUAUAACUGGGAUUAGAUACCCCACUAUAACUGGGAUUAGAUACCCCACUAUAACUGGGAUUAGAUACCCCACUAUAACUGGGAUUAGAUACCCCACUAUAACUGGGAUUAGAUACCCCACUAUAACUGGGAUUAGAUACCCCACUAUAACUGGGAUGAGAUACCCAACGG
Molecule: ribosomal RNA, 672 nt
Filed under: Trachurus trachurus (Atlantic horse mackerel)
Lineage: Eukaryota; Metazoa; Chordata; Actinopteri; Carangiformes; Carangidae
Description: partial 12S ribosomal RNA
Source: RNAcentral